Molecule: ribosomal RNA, 274 nt
Filed under: uncultured bacterium
Lineage: Bacteria
Description: partial 16S ribosomal RNA
Rfam family: Bacterial small subunit ribosomal RNA
Source: RNAcentral
AUACGAAAGGUGCAAGCGUUGUUCGGAUUUACUGGGCGUAAAGAGAGUGUAGGUUGUUUAUUAAGUCGGAUGUGAAAUCCCGGGGCUCAACCUCGGAACUGCAUUCGAUACUGAUAGGCUAGAGUUUGGGAGGGGUAAGCGGAAUUCCGUGUGUAGCAGUGAAACGCGUAGAUAUACGGAGGAACACCUGAGGCGAAGGCGGCUUACUGGACCAAUACUGACACUGAGACUCGAAAGCGUGGGUAGCAAACAGGAUUAGAAACCCUAGUAGUCC